Molecule: unclassified non-coding RNA, 309 nt
Filed under: Hevea brasiliensis (rubber tree)
Lineage: Eukaryota; Viridiplantae; Streptophyta; Magnoliopsida; Malpighiales; Euphorbiaceae
Source: RNAcentral
GUGAAUAGCUAAGGAUUCAGGAUCUUCGCAACGAUACAGAGACUUCACAGGAAUUAUAGGAGAUGAUGAGGUUACAAACUUAUGCGGGGCUUAGCUUAAUAGCUACACUGGCUGUUAUUUAUCAUGCCUUUAAUAGCAGAGGACAAUUUUACCCAGCAAUGGUUUAUCUGUCGACGUCCAAGAUCAGUCUUGUGCUUCUUCUCAAUAUGGGUCUUGUUGUCAUGUGCAUUUUGUGGCAGAUGACAAAGAAAAUUUUCCUUGGUCCACUUCGCGAGGCUGAGGUGGAGAGGCUGAAUGAACAGUCUUGGC